UAAGGAAUAUUGGUCAAUGGACGCAAGUCUGAACCAGCCAUGCCGCGUGAAGGAUUAAGGCCCUCUGGGUUGUAAACUUCUUUUAUAGGGGAAGAAAUGUGACGGUUCUCCGUCACUUGACGGUACCCUGGGAAUAAGCACCGGCUAACUCCGUGCCAGCAGCCGCGGUAAUACGGAGGGUGCAAGCGUUAUCCGGAUUCACUGGGUUUAAAGGGUGCGUAGGUGGGCAGAUAAGUCAGUGGUGAAAUCUUCCGGCUUAACCGGGAAGCUGCCGUUGAUACUAUUUGUCUUGAAUAUUGCGGAGGUAAGCGGAAUAUGUCAUGUAGCGGUGAAAUGCUUAGAUAUGACAUAGAACACCCAUUACGAAGGCAGCUUACUACACAAUCAUUGACACUGAGGCACGAAAGCGUGGGUAGCGAACA
RNAcentral lists this ribosomal RNA (422 nucleotides) under uncultured bacterium. Its description in RNAcentral is "bacterial SSU rRNA". It matches the Rfam family "Bacterial small subunit ribosomal RNA", at positions 355 to 774 of the family's 1533-position model. The record is from RNAcentral.